GUCGAACGGUAACGCGGGGGCAACCCUGGCGACGAGUGGCGGACGGGUGAGUAAUGCUUAGGAAUCUGCCCAGUAGUGGGGGACAACACGGGGAAACUCGUGCUAAUACCGCAUACGCCCUAAGGGGGAAAGCGGGGGAUCUUCGGACCUCGCGCUAUUGGAUGAGCCUAAGUCGGAUUAGCUAGUUGGUGGGGUAAAGGCCUACCAAGGCGACGAUCCGUAGCUGGUCUGAGAGGACGAUCAGCCACACUGGGACUGAGACACGGCCCAGACUCCUACGGGAGGCAGCAGUGGGGAAUAUUGGACAAUGGGGGAAACCCUGAUCCAGCAAUGCCGCGUGUGUGAAGAAGGCCUGCGGGUUGUAAAGCACUUUCAGUAGAGAAGAAAUGUUCGGAGCUAACACCUCCGGAACUUGACGUAACCUACAGAAGAAGCACCGGCUAACUCCGUGCCAGCAGCCGCGGUAAUACGGAGGGUGCGAGCGUUAAUCGGAAUUACUGGGCGUAAAGCGCGCGUAGGCGGUUUGGUCAGUCGAUUGUGAAAGCCCUGGGCCUAACCUGGGAAUUGCAGUCGAUACUGCCUGACUAGAAUG
Molecule: ribosomal RNA, 592 nt
Filed under: uncultured bacterium
Lineage: Bacteria
Description: bacterial SSU rRNA
Rfam family: Bacterial small subunit ribosomal RNA
Source: RNAcentral